Molecule: non-coding RNA, 1536 nt
Organism: Cricetulus griseus (Chinese hamster)
Lineage: Eukaryota; Metazoa; Chordata; Mammalia; Rodentia; Cricetidae
Source: RefSeq, a predicted model, not a curated record
GGAACUAGAAGAAAACAUCCUGAGUGAGAUAACCCAGUCACAAAAAGACAAACAUGAGCAUGGAUGAAAAGGAAUUAAAGGACUCAUUCAAAGAGGAGAGGACAGCUGGGUCAGAAGCAAAGUCCAAAAACAUGUGGCAGGUGAUGGAUGGGAAAACAGAAUAAAAAUCUAUCAAUGGCAGAGAUUCAAAACCAGAGGGCUCAAAACACCAGUUCUUUUUCAGCAGGAAGUGGUAUGGAGCAUCACUGCAGUCCCUUUGAAGACCUGUCUCUGCAGGGAGCUCAGCAGGGCCUUUCAUCAGGAACCCCAAGGUGUCUCUGACUGCCAUGGAGAGAUUUUCUUGGCUUGAGAACUUCCAGAAGUAGAAGAUGAAGAUGAAGAUGAAGAUGAUGAGUAGGAAGAGAGAAAGGAGAGAAUGGGGAAGAUGCAAUCCUUGUGCUCUCCCAUGACUCUGAGCAUCUUUGAGAGAGAUAAUAACCUAUGAGCAACGUCAACACAAAAGAAUGAGAAGUUACUUCUGUUUUGAUGCUUUUCCCCUAAAUGAGCUAAGCAAACAAGGAUAUGACAAAGAGCACGUCUCACCAGGGCCAACUUGGUAGCAGGCCACCUCGACGCUAUUGAUUUUGCAUUUCCAGCUGGUUGUCUCUGUGUCAUUUUAAAAGAAGGUGCUGUGCGUAGCCUUUACAAACUCCCUACUGCUUGCUGAGGUGGACAAAAAGAUGCAAACUCAUAGAAAUCCGCCAAAGAAUAUAAUAGUCUCUACAGAAGAUCUGGCUGAAUCAACCAACAAAAGGUUCCAGCUGUGGAAGCUGUGUGGAACAAAGGCAACUCUUGGCCUAAUGUGCAGUGCAUGCUUCUGGCGUUCCAGUUCAGGGAAGGAAUAAAGAAAGCUAUUCCAAAGCCCUUGACCAGAUGUGUCUGACAUAGUCUAAAAUGUGUUUGCACAAAACCUUCACUAUCAGCACGGUUGCUCUUAUAUCAGGGGACAUCUGUUCCUAAGGCCAGUGGGGGAAAUGUUUGCAUCCAUGAUUAUGGCACAGACUUGAUCUGGUUGCUACUUUGAAGCCUGUUUUUCCUGACCACUGCAGUUCAUAUUAAUCUGAAUGGCCCUAGAUAUAUGUGGAUCGAUGAUUUAUUUAAUUCAAAAUCUAAAUGCUUUUGUGUCAUGGAAUUAAACUCCAUCCAAUGGUCAAAGACUUAAACUUUCCAUUUGUUUUCCAGGAGCAACUGUGCACCUUCCCCAGAGCUGCCUUGACACUGUUAAGUCUGGACACACUUCCCAUCUGUCUUUGACUUAGAUUGUUCCUAAGGUUGCCUAUUGAUCAUCAUUCUCACAUGAAUCCUUCAUUACUCUAAUUGGAACCAUUUAUAAACACAUUCCUUGGACAGAUGACAAAAGGAUCCAUGAUAGGCAACUUUCUAUUCAAAACAGCUGCCCAAUAUGUAAAUCAAAAGCUGUUAAAGAUUGUAUUGAGCUGAGAACAAUUAUAUAAGGUUUAAGCCUGUUGUGAAUUAAAGUGACUGCAUUGGAGCUUA